CGAAGGGUGCAAGCGUUAUCCGGAUUCAUUGGGUUUAAAGGGUGCGUAGGCGGAGUGUUAAGUCAGUGGUGAAAUCCUGCAGCUUAACUGUAGACUUGCCAUUGAUACUGGCACUCUUGAGUGCGCUUGAAGUAGGCGGAAUGUGCCGUGUAGCGGUGAAAUGCUUAGAUAUGGCACAGAACACCAAUUGCGAAGGCAGCUUACUAAGGCGAUACUGACGCUGAGGCACGAAAGCGUGGGGAUCGAACAGGAUUAGAUACCCUGGUAGUCCACGCCGUAAAUGAUGAUCACUCGUCAUUGGCGAUACACUGUCAGUGACCUAGCGAAAGCGUUAAGUGAUCCACCUGGGGAGUACGAUCGCAAGAUUG
RNAcentral lists this ribosomal RNA (368 nucleotides) under uncultured organism. Its description in RNAcentral is "bacterial SSU rRNA". It matches the Rfam family "Bacterial small subunit ribosomal RNA", at positions 526 to 896 of the family's 1533-position model. The record is from RNAcentral.